GUGCUUGCUUCAGCAGCACAUAUACUAAAACUGGAAUGAUACAGAGAAGAUUGGCAUGGCCCCCGCACAAGUAUGAAAUGCAAAUUCGUGAAGUGUUCCAUAUUUUU
Molecule: small nuclear RNA, 107 nt
Filed under: Jaculus jaculus (lesser Egyptian jerboa)
Lineage: Eukaryota; Metazoa; Chordata; Mammalia; Rodentia; Dipodidae
Source: RNAcentral